GAUGAACGCUGGCGGCGUGCCUAAUACAUGCCAGUCGAGCGAACAGAUGAGGAGCUUGCUCCUCUGACGUUAGCGGCGGACGGGUGAGUAACACGUGGAUAACCUACCUAUAAGACUGGGAUAACUUCGGGAAACCGGAGCUAAUACCGGAUAAUAUAUUGAACCGCGUGGUUCAAUAGUGAAAGACGGUUUUGCUGUCACUUAUAGAUGGAUCCGCGCCGCAUUAGCUAGUUGGUAAGGUAACGGCUUACCAAGGCAACGAUGCGUAGCCGACCUGAGAGGGUGAUCGGCCACACUGGAACUGAGACACGGUCCAGACUCCUACGGGAGGCAGCAGUAGGGAAUCUUCCGCAAUGGGCGAAAGCCUGACGGAGCAACGCCGCGUGAGUGAUGAAGGUCUUCGGAUCGUAAAACUCUGUUAUUAGGGAAGAACAAAUGUGUAAGUAACUAUGCACGUCUUGACGGUACCUAAUCAGAAAGCCACGGCUAACUACGUG
This 497-nucleotide ribosomal RNA is filed under the name uncultured bacterium. Its description in RNAcentral is "partial 16S ribosomal RNA". It matches the Rfam family "Bacterial small subunit ribosomal RNA", at positions 28 to 507 of the family's 1533-position model. The record is from RNAcentral.